CACGUAGGGGGCAAGCGUUGUCCGGAUUUAUUGGGCGUAAAGAGCUCGUAGGCGGUUCGGUAAGUCGGGUGUGAAACCUCCAGGCUCAACCUGGAGACGCCACCCGAUACUGCUGUGACUAGAGUCCGGUAGGGGAGCGUGGAAUUCCUGGUGUAGCGGUGAAAUGCGCAGAUAUCAGGAGGAACACCAGCGGCGAAGGCGGCGCUCUGGGCCGGAACUGACGCUGAGGAGCGAAAGCGUGGGGAGCGAACAGG
This 254-nucleotide ribosomal RNA is filed under the name uncultured bacterium. RNAcentral's name for it is "partial 16S ribosomal RNA". It matches the Rfam family "Bacterial small subunit ribosomal RNA", at positions 524 to 776 of the family's 1533-position model. The record is from RNAcentral.